This 576-nucleotide ribosomal RNA is filed under the name Klebsiella pneumoniae. RNAcentral describes it as "partial 23S ribosomal RNA". It matches the Rfam family "Bacterial large subunit ribosomal RNA", at positions 2248 to 2823 of the family's 2925-position model. Lineage: Bacteria; Pseudomonadati; Pseudomonadota; Gammaproteobacteria; Enterobacterales; Enterobacteriaceae. The record is from RNAcentral.
CGGACAGUGUCUGGUGGGUAGUUUGACUGGGGCGGUCUCCUCCCAAAGCGUAACGGAGGAGCACGAAGGUUAGCUAAUCCUGGUCGGACAUCAGGAGGUUAGUGCAAUGGCAUAAGCUAGCUUGACUGCGAGCGUGACGGCGCGAGCAGGUGCGAAAGCAGGUCAUAGUGAUCCGGUGGUUCUGAAUGGAAGGGCCAUCGCUCAACGGAUAAAAGGUACUCCGGGGAUAACAGGCUGAUACCGCCCAAGAGUUCAUAUCGACGGCGGUGUUUGGCACCUCGAUGUCGGCUCAUCACAUCCUGGGGCUGAAGUAGGUCCCAAGGGUAUGGCUGUUCGCCAUUUAAAGUGGUACGCGAGCUGGGUUUAGAACGUCGUGAGACAGUUCGGUCCCUAUCUGCCGUGGGCGCUGGAGAAUUGAGGGGGGCUGCUCCUAGUACGAGAGGACCGGAGUGGACGCAUCACUGGUGUUCGGGUUGUCAUGCCAAUGGCACUGCCCGGUAGCUAAAUGCGGAAGAGAUAAGUGCUGAAAGCAUCUAAGCACGAAACUUGCCCCGAGAUGAGUUCUCCCUGAGACUU